UCAGGAGAAGCCGAAAACCUGAUCAAAGAGUAGGCA
This is a non-coding RNA of Chryseobacterium sp. MOF25P, 36 nucleotides long. The record is from Rfam. NCBI's taxonomy places the organism in Bacteria, Pseudomonadati, Bacteroidota, Flavobacteriia, Flavobacteriales, Weeksellaceae.